UGGCGGACGGGUGAGUAACGCGUGGGUAACCUGCCCCAUACAGGGGGAUAACAGUUAGAAAUGACUGCUAAUACCGCAUAAGACCACGGCACCGCAUGGUGCAGGGGUAAAAACUCCGGUGGUAUGAGAUGGACCCGCGUCUGAUUAGGUAGUUGGUGGGGUAACGGCCUACCAAGCCGACGAUCAGUAGCCGACCUGAGAGGGUGACCGGCCACAUUGGGACUGAGACACGGCCCAA
RNAcentral lists this ribosomal RNA (238 nucleotides) under uncultured bacterium. RNAcentral describes it as "partial 16S ribosomal RNA". It matches the Rfam family "Bacterial small subunit ribosomal RNA", at positions 96 to 334 of the family's 1533-position model. The record is from RNAcentral.